AUGCAGCUGCCAUUCAGUGACCCAAGCAAACUUGAAAACCAUUUUAACAUUCAGAAUGAAAACACAUGUAAAUUUGCAAGCACAAACAACGAAAUGACAGAGUGCCAGCUCAGGGAUUCAGACCUCAAUAUGUGGCCCUAUUCAGGCCUUCAGUUUCCAUUCACUGAAACAAAUCACCUGGGUGUUUUUUGUGGAUCUCCCUUGCUGAGUUUGUCUGAUCCAUGGCGGCCAUACUUGAAUCUUUGCUUAGAUCAUGUACCAGUAAGUUGCAAAAUAUCAUUACAGAUGAGGCCAUACUAA
This 300-nucleotide ribosomal RNA is filed under the name Triticum aestivum (bread wheat). RNAcentral describes it as "partial small subunit ribosomal RNA". Lineage: Eukaryota; Viridiplantae; Streptophyta; Magnoliopsida; Poales; Poaceae. The record is from RNAcentral.